This 484-nucleotide ribosomal RNA is filed under the name uncultured bacterium. RNAcentral describes it as "partial 16S ribosomal RNA". It matches the Rfam family "Bacterial small subunit ribosomal RNA", at positions 30 to 507 of the family's 1533-position model. The record is from RNAcentral.
AUUGAACGCUGGCGGCAGGCCUAACACAUGCAAGUCGAGCGGAUGAAGGGAGCUUGCUCCUGGAUUCAGCGGCGGACGGGUGAGUAAUGCCUAGGAAUCUGCCUGGUAGUGGGGGAUAACGUCCGGAAACGGGCGCUAAUACCGCAUACGUCCUGAGGGAGAAAGUGGGGGAUCUUCGGACCUCACGCUAUCAGAUGAGCCUAGGUCGGAGUAGCUAGUUGGUGGGGUAAAGGCCUACCAAGGCGACGAUCCGUAACUGGUCUGAGAGGAUGAUCAGUCACACUGGAACUGAGACACGGUCCAGACUCCUACGGGAGGCAGCAGUGGGGAAUAUUGGACAAUGGGCGAAAGCCUGAUCCAGCAAUGCCGCGUGUGUGAAGAAGGUCUUCGGAUUGUAAAGCACUUUAAGUUGGGAGGAAGGGAAGUAAGUUAAUACCUUGCUGUUUUGACGUUACCAACAGAAUAAGCACCGGCUAACUUCGUG